This 450-nucleotide ribosomal RNA is filed under the name uncultured Glomeromycotina. Its description in RNAcentral is "SSU rRNA". It matches the Rfam family "Eukaryotic small subunit ribosomal RNA", at positions 569 to 1027 of the family's 1831-position model. Lineage: Eukaryota; Fungi; Glomeromycota. The record is from RNAcentral.
AGCAGCCGCGGUAAUUCCAGCUCCAAUAGCGUAUAUUAAAGUUGUUGCAGUUAAAAGCUCGUAGUUGAAUUUCGGGGUUCUACCGUCGGUCGGGCUACCAAGUCUGUACUGGUGUGUAGAAUUUCUACCUUCUGGGGAACCAUCAUGUUAUUAAUUUAGCGUGGUGGGAAACCAGGACCUUUACCUUGAAAAAUUAGAGUGUUCAAAGCAGGCUUAUGUCUGAAUACAUUAGCAUGGAAUAAUAGAAUAGGACGGUGGUCCUGUUUUGUUGGUUUCUGAAUCACCGUAAUGAUUAAUAGGGAUAGUUGGGGGCAUUAGUAUUCAAUUGUCAGAGGUGAAAUUCUUGGAUUUAUUGAAGACUAACUUCUGCGAAAGCAUUUGCCAAGGAUGUUUUCAUUAAUCAAGAACGAAAGUUAGGGAUCGAAGACGAUCAGAUACCGUCGUAGUCUU